RNAcentral lists this ribosomal RNA (254 nucleotides) under uncultured bacterium. RNAcentral's name for it is "partial 16S ribosomal RNA". It matches the Rfam family "Bacterial small subunit ribosomal RNA", at positions 524 to 777 of the family's 1533-position model. The record is from RNAcentral.
UACGGAGGGUGCGAGCGUUGUCCGGAAUCAUUGGGCGUAAAGGGCGCGUAGGUGGCGGCUUAAGCGUGCGGUGAAAGCUCGGGGCUCAACCCCGAGUCGGCCGUGCGAACUGAGUCGCUUGAGCACUGUAGAGGCAGGCGGAAUUCCGGGUGUAGCGGUGGAAUGCGUAGAGAUCCGGAAGAACACCGGUGGCGAAGGCGGCGAUCUGGGUCGAUACUGACGCUGAGGUGCGAAAGCGUGGGGAGCAAACAGGG